Molecule: ribosomal RNA, 496 nt
Filed under: uncultured bacterium
Lineage: Bacteria
Description: partial 16S ribosomal RNA
Rfam family: Bacterial small subunit ribosomal RNA
Source: RNAcentral
CGAACGCUGGCGGCGUGCCUAAUACAUGCACGUCGAACGAGAGCGACCGGUGCUUGCACUGGUCAAUCUAGUGGCGAACGGGUGAGUAACACGUGGGUAACCUGCCCAUCAGAGGGGGAUAACAUCCGGAAACGGAUGCUAAAACCGCAUAGGUCUUCGAACCGCAUGGUUUGAAGAGGAAAAGAGGCGCAAGCUUCUGCUGAUGGAUGGACCCGCGGUGCAUUAGCUAGUUGGUGAGGUAACGGCUCACCAAGGCCGUGAUGCAUAGCCGACCUGAGAGGGUGAUCGGCCACAUUGGGACUGAGACACGGCCCAAACUCCUACGGGAGGCAGCAGUAGGGAAUCUUCCGCAAUGGACGCAAGUCUGACGGAGCAACGCCGCGUGAGUGAAGAAGGUUUUCGGAUCGUAAAACUCUGUUGUUAGAGAAGAACAAGUGCUAGAGUAACUGUUAGCGCCUUGACGGUAUCUAACCAGAAAGCCACGGCUAACUACGUG